UUAGAGUUUGAUCCUGGCUCAGGAUGAACGCUGGCGGCGUGCCUAAUACAUGCAAGUCGAGCGAACGGACGAGAAGCUUGCUUCUCUGAUGUUAGCGGCGGACGGGUGAGUAACACGUGGAUAACCUACCUAUAAGACUGGGAUAACUUCGGGAAACCGGAGCUAAUACCGGAUAAUAUUUUGAACCGCAUGGUUCAAAAGUGAAAGACGGUCUUGCUGUCACUUAUAGAUGGAUCCGCGCUGCAUUAGCUAGUUGGUAAGGUAACGGCUUACCAAGGCAACGAUGCAUAGCCGACCUGAGAGGGUGAUCGGCCACACUGGAACUGAGACACGGUCCAGACUCCUACGGGAGGCAGCAGUAGGGAAUCUUCCGCAAUGGGCGAAAGCCUGACGGAGCAACGCCGCGUGAGUGAUGAAGGUCUUCGGAUCGUAAAACUCUGUUAUUAGGGAAGAACAUAUGUGUAAGUAACUGUGCACAUCUUGACGGUACCUAAUCAGAAAGCCACGGCUAACUACGUGCCAGCAGCCGCGGUAAUACGUAGGUGGCAAGCGUUAUCCGGAAUUAUUGGGCGUAAAGCGCGCGUAGGCGGUUUUUUAAGUCUGAUGUGAAAGCCCACGGCUCAACCGUGGAGGGUCAUUGGAAACUGGAAAACUUGAGUGCAGAAGAGGAAAGUGGAAUUCCAUGUGUAGCGGUGAAAUGCGCAGAGAUAUGGAGGAACACCAGUGGCGAAGGCGACUUUCUGGUCUGUAACUGACGCUGAUGUGCGAAAGCGUGGGGAUCAAACAGGAUUAGAUACCCUGGUAGUCCACGCCGUAAACGAUGAGUGCUAAGUGUUAGGGGGUUUCCGCCCCUUAGUGCUGCAGCUAACGCAUUAAGCACUCCGCCUGGGGAGUACGACCGCAAGGUUGAAACUCAAAGGAAUUGACGGGGACCCGCACAAGCGGUGGAGCAUGUGGUUUAAUUCGAAGCAACGCGAAGAACCUUACCAAAUCUUGACAUCCUUUGACAACUCUAGAGAUAGAGCUUUCCCCUUCGGGGGACAAAGUGACAGGUGGUGCAUGGUUGUCGUCAGCUCGUGUCGUGAGAUGUUGGGUUAAGUCCCGCAACGAGCGCAACCCUUAAGCUUAGUUGCCAUCAUUAAGUUGGGCACUCUAAGUUGACUGCCGGUGACAAACCGGAGGAAGGUGGGGAUGACGUCAAAUCAUCAUGCCCCUUAUGAUUUGGGCUACACACGUGCUACAAUGGACAAUACAAAGGGCAGCGAAACCGCGAGGUCAAGCAAAUCCCAUAAAGUUGUUCUCAGUUCGGAUUGUAGUCUGCAACUCGACUACAUGAAGCUGGAAUCGCUAGUAAUCGUAGAUCAGCAUGCUACGGUGAAUACGUUCCCGGGUCUUGUACACACCGC
Molecule: ribosomal RNA, 1406 nt
Filed under: uncultured microorganism
Description: bacterial SSU rRNA
Rfam family: Bacterial small subunit ribosomal RNA
Source: RNAcentral